This 468-nucleotide ribosomal RNA is filed under the name uncultured bacterium. RNAcentral's name for it is "partial 16S ribosomal RNA". It matches the Rfam family "Bacterial small subunit ribosomal RNA", at positions 28 to 507 of the family's 1533-position model. The record is from RNAcentral.
GACGAACGCUGGCGGCGUGCUUAACACAUGCAAGUCGAACGGAAAGGCCCUGCUUUUGUGGGGUGCUCGAGUGGCGAACGGGUGAGUAACACGUGAGUAACCUGCCCUUGACUUUGGGAUAACUUCAGGAAACUGGGGCUAAUACCGGAUAGGAGCUCCUGCUGCAUGGUGGGGGUUGGAAAGUUUCGGCGGUUGGGGAUGGACUCGCGGCUUAUCAGCUUGUUGGUGGGGUAGUGGCUUACCAAGGCUUUGACGGGUAGCCGGCCCGAGAGGGUGACCGGCCACAUUGGGACUGAGAUACGGCCCAGACCGCUACGGGAGGAAGCAGUGGGGAAUAUUGCAGAAUGGGCGGAAGCCUGAUGCAGCAACGCCGCGUGCGGGAUGACGGCCUUCGGGUUGUAAACCGCUUUCGCCUGAGACGAAGCGUGAGUGACGGUAAUGGGUAAAGAAGCACCGGCUAACUACGUG